GAUGAAGAACGUAGCGAAAUGCGAUACGUAAUGUGAAUUGCAAAUUCAGUGAAUCAUCGAGUCCUUGAACGCAAAUUGCGCCCCCUGGUAUUCCGGGGGGCAUGCCUGUCCGAGCGUCAUUGCUGCCCUCAAGCACGGCUUGUGUGUUGGGCCCCGUCCUCCGAUCCCGGGGGACGGGCCCGAAAGGCAGCGGCGGCACCGCGUCCGGUCCUCGAGCGUAUGGGGCUUUGUCACCCGCUCUGUAGGCCCGGCCGGCGCUUGCCGAUCAACCCAAAUUUUUAUCCAGGUUGACCUCGGAUCAGGUAGGGAUACCCGCUGAACUUAAGCAUAUCAAUAAGCGGAGGA
RNAcentral lists this unclassified non-coding RNA (345 nucleotides) under soil metagenome. Its description in RNAcentral is "partial contains 5.8S ribosomal RNA, internal transcribed spacer 2, and large subunit ribosomal RNA". The stretch from base 1 to 119 matches the Rfam family "5.8S ribosomal RNA", at positions 35 to 154 of the family's 154-position model. The record is from RNAcentral.